Molecule: ribosomal RNA, 429 nt
Filed under: Bacteroidota bacterium
Lineage: Bacteria; Pseudomonadati; Bacteroidota
Description: Bacteroidetes bacterium partial 16S ribosomal RNA
Rfam family: Bacterial small subunit ribosomal RNA
Source: RNAcentral
UAGGGAAUCUUCGGCAAUGGGGGGAACCCUGACCGAGCAACGCCGCGUGAGUGAAGAAGGUUUUCGGAUCGUAAAGCUCUGUUGUUAAGGAAGAACGAGUGUGAGAAUGGAAAGUUCAUACUGUGACGGUACUUAACCAGAAAGGGACGGCUAACUACGUGCCAGCAGCCGCGGUAAUACGUAGGUCCCGAGCGUUGUCCGGCUUUAUUGGGCGUAAAGCGAGCGCAGGCGGUUAGAUAAGUCUGAAGUUAAAGGCAGUGGCUCAACCAUUGUAGGCUUUGGAAACUGUUUAACUUGAGUGCAGAAGGGGAGAGUGGAAUUCCAUGUGUAGCGGUGAAAUGCGUAGAUAUAUGGAGGAACACCGGUGGCGAAAGCGGCUCUCUGGUCUGUAACUGACGCUGAGGCUCGAAAGCGUGGGGAGCGAACAGG